GAGGAAAAGAAACUAACAAGGAUUCCCCUAGUAACUGCGAGUGAAGCGGGAAAAGCUCAAAUUUAAAAUCUGGCGGUCUCUGGCCGUCCGAGUUGUAAUCUAGAGAAGUGAUGCCCGCGCUGGACCGUGUACAAGUCUCCUGGAAUGGAGCGUCAUAGAGGGUGAGAAUCCCGUCUCUGACACGGACUACCAGGGCUUUGUGGUACGCUCUCAAAGAGUCGAGUUGUUUGGGAAUGCAGCUCUAAAUGGGUGGUAAAUUCCAUCUAAAGCUAAAUAUUGGCGAGAGACCGAUAGCGAACAAGUACCGUGAGGGAAAGAUGAAAAGAACUUUGGAAAGAGAGUUAAACAGUACGUGAAAUUGCUGAAAGGGAAACGCUUGAAGUCAGUCGCGUUGGCCAGGAAUCAGCCUCGCUCUUGCGUGGUGUACUUUCUGGUUGACGGGUCAGCAUCAAUUUUGACUGCUGGAAAAAGGCUUAGGGAAUGUGGCAGCUUCGGCUGUGUUAUAGCCCUUGGUCACAUACAGCGGUUGGGAUUGAGGAACUCAGCACGCCGCAAGGCCGGGUUUCGACCACGUUCGUGCUUAGGAUGCUGGCAUAAUGGCUUUAAGCGACCCGUCUUGAAACACGGACCAAGGAGUCUAACAUGCCUGCGAGUGUUUGGGUGGUAAACCCGAGCGCGUAAUGAAAGUGAAAGUUGAGAUCCCUGUCGUGGGGAGCAUCGACGCCCGGACCUGAACUUUUGUGACGGAUCCGCGGUAGAGCAUGUAUGUUGGGACCCGAAAGAUGGUGAACUAUGCCUGAAUAGGGUGAAGCCAGAGGAAACUCUGGUGGAGGCUCGUAGCGAUUCUGACGUGCAAAUCGAUCGUCAAAUUUGGGUAUAGGGGCGAAAGACUAAUCGAACCAUCUAGUAGCUGGUUCCUGCCGA
This 924-nucleotide ribosomal RNA is filed under the name Utraria lambinonii. RNAcentral's name for it is "Lycoperdon lambinonii partial large subunit ribosomal RNA". It matches the Rfam family "Eukaryotic large subunit ribosomal RNA", at positions 53 to 964 of the family's 3401-position model. Lineage: Eukaryota; Fungi; Basidiomycota; Agaricomycetes; Agaricales; Lycoperdaceae. The record is from RNAcentral.